This 254-nucleotide ribosomal RNA is filed under the name uncultured bacterium. Its description in RNAcentral is "partial 16S ribosomal RNA". It matches the Rfam family "Bacterial small subunit ribosomal RNA", at positions 524 to 776 of the family's 1533-position model. The record is from RNAcentral.
UACAGAGGGUGCAAGCGUUUGUUCGGAAUUACUGGGCGUAAAGGGCGUGUAGGCGGCCUAGUAAGUCAGAUGUGAAAGCCCGGGGCUUACCCUCGGAAGUGCAUUUGAAACUGCUAAGCUAGAGUGAGGUAGAGGUUGGUGGAAUUCCCAGUGUAGAGGUGAAAUUCGUAGAUAUUGGGAGGAACACCGGUGGCGAAGGCGGCCAACUGGGCCUUAACUGACGCUGAGGCGCGAAAGCGUGGGGAGCAAACAGG